GAUACAGGGUGGAACUUCCUUCCAUCCAGAGGAUCUCCCAGCUCAGGCUCAUCCUGGAGCCAGCUCUGCAGAGGGAACAUGGGGGGAGGCGACUCACACCAUGACCUGUGUGGAGGUGGCCAUGGUCGGGUGAACCAAUGAACCAAGACUCCUGAGUGUGUUAAGUCCAAAGAGCAGGACUCCGUGAAGGAAAGAGGGAAGAGCUGCAGCGGGGAGGCUGAACAGGGCGGCUGUCUGCCCACACCCCUGCUAUCAGCCUGUGAGCUCAGGGACUGACUCUGCUUCUGAGUACAUAAAACCUCCAGUCCCAAGUGGCUACCUGGUCCACAGGCACACCCACCUUCCCCCUCAGUGGGAUUUUCUGUGGGGCCUGCAGCAGGGACAGUCUCAGGUGUGGGGAGAGCCACUGCCUUGAAAUCCAGCUAGCAUCUUGACCCAGCCCGUUUUAUAGGACUUGUCACCUCAGGGAAGGUGAUGGAGCAAAUGCAUUUUCUCUGCCUCCAGGAUUUUAACAACGGCUUGAAGAAACAAACUUACCAUGAAAAUGCAGGGCAGUCCAGC
RNAcentral lists this unclassified non-coding RNA (561 nucleotides) under Homo sapiens (human). RNAcentral's name for it is "novel transcript (ENSG00000280695.1)". Lineage: Eukaryota; Metazoa; Chordata; Mammalia; Primates; Hominidae. The record is from RNAcentral.